UUUUAGUUUGAUCCUGGCUCAGGAUGAACGCUGGCGGCGUGCCUAAUACAUGCAAGUCGAGCGAAUGGAUUAAGAGCUUGCUCUUAUGAAGUUAGCGGCGGACGGGUGAGUAACACGUGGGUAACCUGCCCAUAAGACUGGGAUAACUCCGGGAAACCGGGGCUAAUACCGGAUAACAUUUUGAACUGCAUGGUUCGAAAUUGAAAGGCGGCUUCGGCUGUCACUUAUGGAUGGACCCGCGUCGCAUUGGCUAGUUGGUGAGGUAACGGCUCACCAAGGCAACGAUGCGUAGCCGACCUGAGAGGGUGAUCGGCCACACUGGGACUGAGACACGGCCCAGACUCCUACGGGAGGCAGCAGUAGGGAAUCUUCCGCAAUGGACGAAAGUCUGACGGAGCAACGCCGCGUGAGUGAUGAAGGCUUUCGGGUCGUAAAACUCUGUUGUUAGGGAAGAACAAGUGCUAGUUGAAUAAGCUGGCACCUUGACGGUACCUAACCAGAAAGCCACGGCUAACUACGUGCCAGCAGCCGCGGUAAUACGUAGGUGGCAAGCGUUAUCCGGAAUUAUUGGGCGUAAAGCGCGCGCAGGUGGUUUCUUAAGUCUGAUGUGAAAGCCCACGGCUCAACCGUGGAGGGUCAUUGGAAACUGGGAGACGGGAGUCCGGAAGAGGAAC
This 674-nucleotide ribosomal RNA is filed under the name Bacillus cereus. RNAcentral's name for it is "bacterial SSU rRNA". It matches the Rfam family "Bacterial small subunit ribosomal RNA", at positions 1 to 660 of the family's 1533-position model. The record is from RNAcentral. Lineage: Bacteria; Bacillati; Bacillota; Bacilli; Caryophanales; Bacillaceae.